RNAcentral lists this ribosomal RNA (2356 nucleotides) under human gut metagenome. Its description in RNAcentral is "bacterial LSU rRNA". It matches the Rfam family "Bacterial large subunit ribosomal RNA", at positions 694 to 2925 of the family's 2925-position model. The record is from RNAcentral.
UUUUAGUCGCUUGUCCUGGACCCGAAGCGGGAUGAUCUAGCCCUGGGCAGGUUGAAGCGCGGGUAAGACCGCGUGGAGGACCGAACCCACCUGGGUUGAAAACCGGGGGGAUGACCUGGGGCUAGGGGUGAAAGGCCAAUCAAAUUCCGUGAUAGCUGGUUCUCUCCGAAAUGCAUUUAGGUGCAGCGUCGGUCGAUUGCGUCGCGGGGGUAGAGCUACCGGAUGCUUGCGGGCCCUUGUUGGGUACCAACAGCAGCCGAACUCCGAAUACCGUUGACGUGUAUUCCGGCAGUGAGUCGGCGGGGGAUAAGCUCCGUCGUCGAGAGGGAGACAGCCCAGACCGUCGUCUAAGGUCCCGAAGCGUGUGCUAAGUGGGAAAGGAUGUGGAGUCGCAUAGACAGCCAGGAGGUUGGCUCAGAAGCAGCCAUCCUUGAAAGAGUGCGUAACAGCUCACUGGUCUAGUGGUUCCGCGCCGACAAUGUAGCGGGGCUCAAGCACACCACCGAAGACGCGGCAGCAAUCUUCAUGGUUGCUGGGUAGGAGAGCGUCCUGCGAGGGGCGAAGCGGCCGGGUAACCGUGCCGUGGACUUCGUGGGAGUGAGAAUGCAGACAUGAGUAGCGAGAGACGGGUGAGGAUCCCGUCCGCUGGAUGACCAAGGGUUCCGGGGCCACGUUCGUCGUCCCCGGGUGAGUCGGGUCCUAAGGCGAGGCCGACAGGCGUAGUCGAAUGGAUGAACGGGUGGAUAUUCCCGUACCGACCAUGGACCGGCAAAACCGAGACGGUGAGUACUAACCUCCGCCUCGUGGUGGUUCCUUCCUUCGGGUUGGUUCCGCCGCGUGGUGUUGGGACUGUAGCCGUAGUAGGUCAGCGCAGGGGUGACACGGAAUGGGAGCCGGCCGCGGAGGUGGUUUUCCGUGGUCAAGCACGCAGCCAGUCAUGUAGGCAAAUCCGCAUGGCGCGCAUGGCGAGGUGUGAUGAUGGGAGCCGUUAUGGCUCGAUAUCCGGUUGUCCAGGCCGUCGAGAAAAGCCUCGGCGUGAGGGCCAUGGCCGCCCGUACCCCAAACCGACACUGGUGGUCAGGUAGAGAAUACCAAGGCGAUCGAGCGAAUCCUGGUCAAGGAACUCGGCAAAUCACUCCCGUGCCUUCGGUAUAAGGGAGACCCGCUGGGGUGAACCGGCUAGCCCGGGGAGCUUUGGUGGGUGGCACAGACCAGGGGGUAGCGACUGUUUACCAAAAACACAGGUGCAUGCGAAGGCGAAAGCCGCUGUAUAUGCACUGACGCCUGCCCGGUGCCGGAAGGUUAAGAGGAUCCGUCAGUCCUUCGGGAUGAAGCGGUGAAUUCAAGCCCCGGUAAACGGCGGUGGUAACUAUAACCAUCCUAAGGUAGCGAAAUUCCUUGUCGGGUAAGUUCCGACCUGCACGAAUGGCGUAACGACUUCCCCACUGUCUCGACCAGGAGCUCGGCGAAAUUGCAGUACGAGUAAAGAUGCUCGUUAAGCGCAGAAGGACGAAAAGACCCCGGGACCUUUACUAUACCUUGGUAUUGGCGUUAGGCGCGGAUUGUGUAGCAUAGGCGGGAGGCUUCGAAGCGGGUGCGCCAGCAUUCGUGGAGCCGCAAGGUGAAAUACCGCUCUGUUCUCGUUUGACGUCUAACCUCGACAAGUCAUCCUUGUCAGGGACAGUGCCUGGCGGGUAGUUCAACUGGGGCGGUUGCCUCCCAAAGAGUAACGGAGGCGCUCAAAGGUCCGCUCAGCCCGGUUGGCAAUCGGGUGUCGAGUGUAAUCGCACAAGCGGGCUUGACUGCGAGGACGACGGUCCGAGCAGGGACGAAAGUCGGAGAUAGUGAUCCGGUGCCGGCGCACGGGCGCGGCAUCGCUCAACGGAUAAAAGGUACCCCGGGGAUAACAGGCUGAUCAUUCCCAAGAGUCCAUAUCGACGGGAUGGUUUGGCACCUCGAUGUCGGCUCGUCGCAUCCUGGGGCUGGAGCAGGUCCCAAGGGUUCGGCUGUUCGCCGAUUAAAGCGGCACGCGAGCUGGGUUCAGAACGUCGUGAGACAGUUUGGUCUCUAUCCUCUGCGCUCGUUGGAAUCCUGAGGAGGCCUGCCCAUAGUACGAGAGGACCUGGGUGGACGAACCUCUGGUAUGCCGGUUGUCGCGCCAGCGGCACGGCCGGUUGGCUACGUUCGGGAGGGAUAACCGCUGAAAGCAUCUAAGCGGGAAGCCUGCUCCAAGAUUAGGAUUCCAUGGAUCUUCGAGAUCCUGUAGCCCGCAUGUUGAACACGUGUUUGAUAGGCCGGAGGUGGAAGCCCCGUGAGGGGUGGAGCCGACCGGUACUAACGGGCGACGGCGACACAA